This 243-nucleotide ribosomal RNA is filed under the name uncultured Actinomycetales bacterium. Its description in RNAcentral is "partial 16S ribosomal RNA". It matches the Rfam family "Bacterial small subunit ribosomal RNA", at positions 88 to 334 of the family's 1533-position model. The record is from RNAcentral. Lineage: Bacteria; Bacillati; Actinomycetota; Actinomycetes; Actinomycetales.
UACUCGAGUGGCGAACGGGUGAGUAACACGUGGGUGAUCUGCCCUGCACUUCGGGAUAAGCUUGGGAAACUGGGUCUAAUACCGGAUAGGAGCCAUCUUUAGUGUGGUGGUUGGAAAGUUUUUUCGGUGUAGGAUGAGCUCGCGGCCUAUCAGCUUGUUGGUUGGGUAAUGGCCUACCAAGGCGGCGACGGGUAGCCGGCCUGAGAGGGUGUACGGCCACAUUGGGACUGAGAUACGGCCCAG